UCGUGCUGUCCUGUGCGCGCGGCGCGCGGCUCCGGAGAGGCGCCGGCAGCCCCGGGCGGCGCGCAGCGUCUCGCCCGCGCUCCCAGUGGUGCCUUCUCCCCCCGACUCCUUGCACCUCUCCAGCGCAAAGAUUUUCUGAAACAAUGGCGACACCCCGGAGGAGGACAAAGAAAAAAGCAUCUUUUGAUCAUUCUCCGGAUAGCCUGCCUUUGAGGAGCUCCGGUAGGCAGGCGAAGAAAAAAGCAACAGAGACAACAGACGAGGACGAAGACGGCGGGUCAGAGAAGAAAUAUAGGCGAUGUGAGAAGUCAGGCUGCACAGUAGCGUGUCCCGUGUGCUUUGCAAGCGCUUCUGAAAGAUGUGCCAAAAACGGCUACACAUCCCGAUGGUAUCACCUCUCCUGUGGGGAGCAUUUCUGUAACGAAUGCUUUGACCAUUACUACAGAAGCCACAAGGACGGAUAUGACAAAUACACUACCUGGAAAAAAAUAUGGACUAGCAAUGGAAAAACCGAACCUAGUCCCAAAGCUUUCAUGGCAGACCAGCAGCUCCCCUACUGGGUUCAGUGUACAAAACCUGAGUGUAGAAAAUGGAGACAACUUACCAAGGAAAUCCAUCUUACUCCACAGAUAGCAAGGACCUACCGAUGUGGUAUGAAAUCAAAUACUACCAUUAAGCCCGAGACCUCAGAUCAUUGCUCCCUUCCAGAGGAUCUAAGAGUGUCGGAAGUUUCCAACCACUGGUGGUACUCCAUGCUCAUCCUCCCUCCUUUGCUGAAAGACAGCGUGGCGGCACCCCUGCUCUCUGCCUACUACCCCGACUGCGUGGGCAUGAGUCCCUCCUGCACCAGCACCCACAGUGCAGCUGGCAGCGCCAGCCCUGGGAAGCUGGAGCACUCCAAGGCUGUCCCCUCUGCGCUGGUUCCAGGCAUGAACCGGUACUUCCAGCCUUUCUACCAGCCCAAUGAGUGUGGCAAAGCCCUGUGUGUGCGGCCGGACGUGAUGGAGCUGGACGAGCUCUAUGAGUUCCCAGAGUAUUCGCGAGACCCCACCAUGUACCUGGCUCUGCGGAACCUCAUCCUUGCGCUGUGGUACACUAACUGCAAAGAAGCUCUUACCCCUCAGAAAUGUAUUCCUCACAUCAUUGUCCGGGGUCUCGUGCGUAUCCGGUGUGUUCAGGAAGUAGAGAGGAUACUUUAUUUUAUGACGAGGAAAGGUCUCAUCAACACGGGAGUUCUUGGCGUCGGCACCGACCAGCAUCUUCUUCCUAAAGAUUACCACAACAAAUCAGUCAUCAUCAUCGGGGCUGGUCCAGCAGGAUUAGCAGCUGCUAGGCAAUUGCAUAACUUUGGAAUUAAGGUAACUGUCCUGGAAGCCAAAGACCGAAUUGGAGGCCGAGUAUGGGAUGAUAAAUCUUUUAAAGGUGUCACAGUGGGAAGAGGAGCCCAGAUUGUCAAUGGCUGUAUCAACAACCCAGUAGCACUAAUGUGUGAACAACUUGGCAUCAGCAUGCAUAAAUUUGGAGAGAGAUGUGACUUAAUUCAGGAAGGUGGACGAAUAACUGACCCCACUAUUGACAAGCGCAUGGAUUUUCAUUUUAAUGCUCUCUUGGAUGUUGUCUCUGAGUGGAGAAAGGAUAAGACUCAGCUCCAAGAUGUUCCUUUAGGAGAAAAGAUAGAGGAGAUCUACAAAGCUUUCAUCAAGGAGUCUGGUAUCCAUUUCAGUGAACUUGAGGAGCAGGUGCUUCAUUUCCACCUCAGCAACCUGGAGUAUGCCUGCGGCAGCAACCUCCAUCAGGUGUCUGCUCGCUCCUGGGACCACAACGAAUUCUUUGCCCAGUUUGCUGGUGACCAUACUCUGCUAAUGCCUGGCUACUCCGUAAUCCUUGAAAAACUAGCAGAAGGCCUAGAUAUUCGGCUCGAGUCUCCAGUACAGAGCAUUGAUUAUUCUGGAGAUGAAGUGCAGGUUACCAUCACGGAUGGGACAGGGUGUACAGCACAAAAGGUAUUAGUCACUGUCCCCCUGGCCUUACUGCAGAAGGGGGCCAUUCACUUUAACCCACCGCUGUCAGACAAGAAGAUGAAGGCUAUCAACAGCUUAGGCGCAGGCAUCAUUGAAAAGAUUGCCUUGCAAUUUCCUUAUCGAUUUUGGGACAGUAAAGUUCAAGGGGCUGACUUUUUCGGUCACGUACCUCCUAGUGCCAGCAAGCGGGGGCUUUUUGCUGUGUUCUAUGACAUGGAUCCCCAGGAAAGGAGCCCCAGCAUCUGCCAUAUUUUCUUCAAGUGUUCAUGUCGCUCCCCGGGAAGUGGAUUAGUGUUUCAGGCUGGUGGGGCGGUCUCUCGGGCAGAGUCCACACAACACAGUAAUGAGCAGUACCUGAACAGCACUCCCAGGGUCCUCCUGUGAGCUCCGAAGGGCGAGAUGUGAUUGGCCCGGAGGAGGGCGGGCUCGGCGUUGGCCCGUGUGGCCAGAGGGGGCGGCGGGUGGGGGACUUGAAAUGUACUAUUGAUGUCCUGCAGAAGAAUCACCCUGGUUGUUCCCUUUUCUUCUUCCUUCCAAGAAACUGCACCUUAAAAGGUUUCUCUUGGGAGCCACUGGCAAAAUUUCUUUACCGUUUGAGAAGGAUUUUUCCCGAUUUUAUUUGCAGAUGUUCCUUCUCCGUCUUCUGUUUUUUCUAGAACAAGUUCUUAUAAGGGAAAAGCCAAGAGCAACCCUGAAUUUGAUAUUUACCCUUCCUUCUGAGCUUUCCAGCCGCGAACAACAAAAUGUAUAGAUGCAUAAUGAGUUUUGUCAGGGAAACGGACUGGGGAUGGAAAGGAGGAGGAGAUAAGGAGAAGCAGCACAGCGUGCUGAUGUCGGUGGUCGCCGGGGAGGCGGUGGCGUCCGUGAGGACCCUGGAUGACAAGCAGGUGCUGCAGCAGUGCAUGGCUGUCCUCCGGGAGCUGUUCAAGGAGCAGGAAGUCCCAGAUCCCACGAAGUAUUUUGUCACUCGGUGGAGCACAGACCCCUGGAUCCAGAUGGCGUACAGCUUUGUGAAGACAGGUGGGAGCGGAGAAGCCUACGAUAUCAUUGCCGAGGAAAUACAAGGAACGGUCUUUUUUGCUGGCGAGGCAACAAACAGGCAUUUUCCACAAACUGUUACAGGGGCAUAUUUGAGUGGUGUUCGAGAAGCAAGCAAGAUCGCAGCAUUUUGAGUAGAAUUUGUCUGGACCCAGCUUUCUUCUGUGUCCCAAAUGGUAAAGUUUGAAACACAUGUUAAACCUCACUUUCAUAAAACCAAACAAAAAAACCUUCUCUGAGAGCAUUCUUAGCCCCAAGAAUCCGUUUGAAGCACUUAUAUUUAAUUGCUUUUUCCACAGGCUGAUUAGGGCUAAGUCCUCUGUAUUUCAGAAUAAGGCAGAACAGAACCUUAAAUUAAGAUUUUGGAUUGGAUUUCUUCCAUGGUUGGAGACUCCCUUUAAAUUUGAUAUUUUGUUGGGCUCAUCAGUUUUCAAACAUUGAGAAACCAAGCAGCAAUUGCUAAAAAACCAGAUAAAGCCAUGUAUUUUUCUUCUGUGACAGUUUAUCAGUAUCUUUGCCAGUGAGCCUUAAGACUUUUCUAUAGCUCCAAUAUUGAACUUUUACUUAAAAUUUAGAUAAGAAUCUGUCCAUUUCGGAUACAGCACAAACUUCAGUUAAAAGUAAAUGAAACUUCUAGACUAUUUUAUAUUGUACAUAUUUCUUUCCAUUGGGUUAUUCAAAAAUUUAAAUUCAGGUAUCUUUUGUGAUACAUUUUAGAUUUGUGCACUCAUUGGCAAAACAACAUUUUCAAUUCCUUAAACAGCAUAGGUAUUCUGUCAUUAAGAAUGGGGUAGAGAUAGUCUAGUCUUCAUACUUUAGACCAUUUAGAAUAUGGCUAUUUUUCUAAGAGCCAAGUUUGGGUGGAUGGCACACUUUAAAGAGCCUUAAUUUUGGCACCCACUAGCAAAAAGAUCUUUCUUGUCAGAAUACUUUAGUAAGAAACUCCCUCUACUGCUUUUUAAAAUAACAGAUUCAGACUUUAGGAGUAUUUUUUACAGCAUUAUGUUUUCAGUAUUCCAUAGGCAGGUCCACUGGAAAACUGCAGAAAAAUGGGAUAUCCUGGUAAAUAUUACUCAUUUAAAGCCAUAUCUUAAAAGCCUGAGAACAUGGCAGAUACUUUUUCCUUUUUUCACUCAUGACAAAAUAAUUCAAUUAAAAUAAACACUGGUUUCAGGGUCUUCAGGAUGCUUAUCUUGCCAAGAAGUUAGAAAAGUGGAUGGUAACUUAAGUGCUUUUGUUUUAAAAAGUGUGAACAGUUCUUUCAAUUAUAUUAGUCUGCUUCAAAAAGGGACUCAAAAUGACUUUAAAGACACGUUGCAAAAUAUUAGGUAUUUUUAAAAUUUAAAGUCAUCUUCUAAGUAGAAAUAGUAUUUUAUGCAAACUUUAGACAGAAUUUAGACACAUUCCCUCCCCAUCAAAGUAUGAUACACAGAAAAGGCAACAGCCGUAAAUUGGUUUCAAAGUUGGGUUAACCCAGGAAAAUGUUGAUAUUUAGAUUAUCUGAUGAGACUCAUUGGUACUGAUUGGGAAGUAUUCUGCUUUAAAAUGCUAUGUUUUAAAAUGUUUAAAGAAUAGCAUGUGUUCAGUGAUAAACGCAAAAUAUUUUAAGUUUGAAAUGGCUCAUGAUUGUUUAGUUUCUGGGCACUUAAACUUGUACUGUGCUUAGAAGCAAACUGCGGAAAAACCUAGUUAGCUCAAGUACAGUACAGCAAGUAUGUACGUAAAAAAUUUCCUGUCUCAAGUGACUCAUUUGACUUUUUGUUCGUUAAGGAACCACGGUACUUUUCUUGAGUUUGUUUUUCACUGUUUGAAGAUUCUGUAAUUGAAUAGCAGUGAAUACAGUGUUUUAACUGCAGAUUGUGAACAAGCUGGUUGUGUAAAACUGCUUAAUAAAAACUAGACUUGUUUUUCAAA
Molecule: non-coding RNA, 4973 nt
Organism: Callorhinus ursinus (northern fur seal)
Lineage: Eukaryota; Metazoa; Chordata; Mammalia; Carnivora; Otariidae
Source: RefSeq, a predicted model, not a curated record